Molecule: small RNA, 343 nt
Filed under: Arabidopsis thaliana (thale cress)
Lineage: Eukaryota; Viridiplantae; Streptophyta; Magnoliopsida; Brassicales; Brassicaceae
Description: ATSL139470
Source: RNAcentral
UAUAUAUGCAUGUGUACGAGAAUUAGAGUAGAAAAAAAUAUUUUGAAACAAAAUCUUAUACCAAUUCCAGCAGCAUCCAUAGAUUCACCAACUUUACUGAUAUCAUCAGAUCCAUCUCGUUUAUUUAGACUAUCGAGAAUGGCUACAAAAUACAAACGAACAUCGGGCCAUCUUCAAUAAGUAGAUAGCUUUAACCCUAUUAAUAAACAGCUUUGACAGUACUAUACCUUCAAGGUCACGGUUUACUUCGUCCAUACUCGAACUUUGACCUAAUUCUUCACGACUACUAACAGCUUCAGACUACAGAUCCAAAGUACAAAACACAAUAUUAAUUAGAUGCAUA